UACGACCACAUCACGUUGAAAUACCGAUUCCCUACGAUCACCAAAGUUAAGCAACGUCGUGGCUGGUCAGUACCUAGAUAGGUGACAGCUUAGGAAUACCAGGAACUGUAAU
This is a non-coding RNA of Acanthosepion pharaonis, 112 nucleotides long. The record is from the annotation of a GenBank genome assembly. NCBI's taxonomy places the organism in Eukaryota, Metazoa, Mollusca, Cephalopoda, Sepiida, Sepiidae.